CCAGAAGUGCUAGGUGCCUUUUCCUAUCAUUUUUUGUGACUGACGUUAAAUGCUUCUAUCUUCAAUCACUUUCCCUGGGAAUGCUGCACUUAGCUUUGAAAUUGCACAUUUUAAAAAACACACCGAGUAAUAUAUUUCUUUUAUCAAAGAUUUUCUGAAUGAAUCAUUCAAAAAGAAUCGGACACAAUGGCGGGAAUUUCAAGCAUUAAGUCAGCACAAGGAAGAACUGUUUGUACAACAGGGAUUUUUUGGCAUACUUCAAAGCACUCAGACUCAUUCUUGUCUGCCUGACUACUUGCAUUUUACCCUAGAUUAGUUCGUACCACACAGAACUAAGGAUGAAGUUCAUGAUUCAAUGCACUGAGGAAAGAACCUGAUUAAAAAGAGUGCCCUGAAGGCUAUGGGGUUGGUUCACUGUUGGGCCGGGAAAGAACACUUCAAAAGUACAGCUCUAGCUGGAAAUGGGUGGAAACUUUUCUAGCCUCUCGUAAUUGCAAUAUGGAAAUUGCACAGUGGACAGAAGGGCCGCAUUUGACUACUGAGUGGAGCAGUAUUUCAACGAGAGAGCAUCGAUACAAUCUUCUAGGCCAGAGAUGUCCUUGUGUCAGCCUGACCUACCAACCUUUGACUAUUUUGGAAGGCAUGUGGUUCACGAUCUAUGGAUAAGCCAAGUCUGAAAAAGUCUCCGCUGACACGAGCCUCUCAGAACAAUCUCCUUUACAAUACAUUUUAUUCUAAGAAACUCUCAGGCGGAUGAGGAGAAGGAAGUCUCUCCCUCAUGACUGGUACAAGCCACUGAGCCAACAAGGACUUAACCACUGCAUGGAGCUUCUCUGGAGAGAUCCCGAAGGCAACGAAAUGUAAUGCUGAGAGUAUAACUAGCCAGCUACGAAAAAAAGAAAAGAAAAAGAAAAAAAAGAGGAUUGAGCUAUUACAGAAGAUAUAUUUUCCUCUUCGGAAAGUACAAGUCUUUCGUUAAUAUAAGUUACACAAUGCUUCAUGCUCCCCCUCCGUUAUCCUUCCUUUGCUCCAACCAAAUUGUAUUUCCUCCACCCAGAUGUGGUUGGAAACAAAA
Long non-coding RNA from Neofelis nebulosa (Clouded leopard), 1075 nucleotides. RefSeq lists it as uncharacterized. NCBI's taxonomy places the organism in Eukaryota, Metazoa, Chordata, Mammalia, Carnivora, Felidae. The record is from RefSeq and is a predicted model, not a curated record. The transcript has 4 exons.